This 282-nucleotide signal recognition particle RNA is filed under the name Thermosphaera aggregans DSM 11486. RNAcentral describes it as "Archaeal signal recognition particle RNA". It matches the Rfam family "Archaeal signal recognition particle RNA". Lineage: Archaea; Thermoproteati; Thermoproteota; Thermoprotei; Desulfurococcales; Desulfurococcaceae. The record is from Rfam by way of RNAcentral.
GGGCCGUGGGGAGGGCCCAGUUUACUGGGUCAGACAACCAUGCACCGCGUGGCUGGGGCCCUGUCAACCCCCACGUAAGGCAAUGACCCCCGCCCCAUGGGGCUUGCGGUGGCGGAGCCCUCUCCGGAGGGGGAGGGUGAACCGUCUUAACCGGGGGAACCCGGCCAGGCCCGGAAGGGAGCAACCUAACCCUGGCCGCAAGCGUUCAUGGGUCACCGGGGCAGAGACCUGCGUGGAAGGGCUCUGGCAGGGCUCUCCACGCGGUGUAUGGGGCUACGGUCC